GCCCCGGUGGUAUAAUGGUAGCAGGCGCCCUAGUAUUUAUAAAACACGGGUUCGAUUCCCGUCUGAGGUC
Molecule: non-coding RNA, 70 nt
Organism: Parelaphostrongylus tenuis
Lineage: Eukaryota; Metazoa; Nematoda; Chromadorea; Rhabditida; Metastrongylidae
Source: the annotation of a GenBank genome assembly